UUUUGGAUAAAGACACAGUAGAGACGAAUGGAAAGGAGAGACGGGAAAGAGGAAAAGAAGCCAGGAAGAGAGAGGAGCGGGUUGGCCGUGGCAGUGGCUCCGCUGCACGGAGCCUGAUGAGACUGAGCAGAUCUGGCCAUGCAGUGACUGGGGAGCAGUACGGUGGCGGGUGCUAGGUUGGUGACUAGAGCCAGAGAGACGGAGCCUCGGGAUCGGUGUGGAAGCGACUUGGAAGCACGAGUGACCGGCGUGCAGGCGAGACGAAAGGGUCGAGACGCACCAGAAGAGGAGCGUGGAGGAGCUGCACCGGAGGCUGCUGUCGUGUUACAUUUCACCCAGGCCUUGGAAGACUUACACUGGGAGUUGGUGGUUACCACUCCCGGGCAGAGUCCGGUUGAUUACCGUGAAGCACGUGGAGGAGAAUCAGUGCGGAGGAGAGAGAGACAUUGAGUCGCGUCGCGUUCUCGGGGUCUUCUUCGGGAAGACACAGAUUUGGUCCUGCUGUGGAUGAGGGGGUUUCGCCCAACGAUUUUCCGUCCUUCUUCUGACUGAACCCUUUUUAAGAGUACUGGGGAUGGGAUUUUUAGGCUUCUUUCUGGUCUAGAUAAUUGAGUAUGAUAUAGAACCCCUGAGGUAAUUUUACGUAUGUGCUUUUUGUCUGUUUUCUUUUCUGUUUGGGUUAGUUUUGUAUUUAAUGUAAUUAUUUGUACUUUUAUUUAUUUCAGUAUUAAUAUUGAUUGGGCGUGGGUUAUAUUGGUUAGUAGUUUAAUUGUGUGAUUUGUAGGUAGUGUUUUGUGUGUGAGUGAGUUUUCUUUUGAUUGAUGUGCAGGUGUUGGUUUUGUAUUGAUUUGUGUGUGUUGGGGGUUGUAUGGGGGAUGACCCUAACCUAGUCGUACUGAAUUGUAAGUAAAAGUCACCCUAGUAUUUUAAAGUAAUUAGCCUGCUGAGAAGAGUAACUUUAAUGUGAAUUCUUUUUAUGGUCAAUAAAAAUUAUUUUUAAAGUGUCAGACAA
Molecule: long non-coding RNA, 1012 nt
Organism: Trichomycterus rosablanca
Lineage: Eukaryota; Metazoa; Chordata; Actinopteri; Siluriformes; Trichomycteridae
Exons: 2
Source: RefSeq, a predicted model, not a curated record